This 398-nucleotide long non-coding RNA is filed under the name Ricinus communis (castor bean). RNAcentral describes it as "long non-coding RNA (RCOM_LNC003804)". Lineage: Eukaryota; Viridiplantae; Streptophyta; Magnoliopsida; Malpighiales; Euphorbiaceae. The record is from RNAcentral.
CCUGCAACUGCCACACGGUUCGAUUAACUGAGAGUGGAAGCUCACAUGGCGGCUUGCAAAAUGGUGAGCCUGACUGCGAAGGAGAUAAUUAAUCCGUGUAAUUAUGUACGCAUGUUGUACGUAGUAUGUGGUGUCUAUAAUUAUUAAUAAAGUUGCUGCUAAGCUAAUUCUUAAUUCUGUUGUGUAUGAUUAGACCUAAGGAUUAUAUUAAUUUGGUUGGUUUGCCUCAUUAGUUUGCGUUGUUCUUGUACUUUCAUUAUUAAUAAUUUCCAAAAGCUAUUAUGUUUGACAGCUUCCAAGAUAAUUAGAAAUUUAUUGUUUGAAGUUUUGAAUCUCAGACUCAUUUCUUUAUUAUUAUUAUUGUUGUUAUUUUAAUUUAGUCAAUCGGGUUCUUACUC